AACGAACGCUGGCGGCGUGCUUAACACAUGCAAGUCGAACGGAAAGGCCCUGCUUUUGUGGGGUGCUCGAGUGGCGAACGGGUGAGUAACACGUGAGUAACCUGCCCUUUACUUUGGGAUAACUUCAGGAAACUGGGGCUAAUACCGGAUAGGAGCUCCUGCUGCAUGGUGGGGGUUGGAAAGUUUCGGCGGUUGGGGAUGGACUCGCGGCUUAUCAGCUUGUUGGUGGGGUAGUGGCUUACCAAGGCCUUGACGGGUAGCCGGCCUGAGAGGGUGACCGGCCACAUUGGGACUGAGAUACGGACCAGAAUCCUACGGGAGGCAGCAGUGGGGAAUAUUGCAAAAUGGGCGGAAGCCUGAUGCAGCAACGCCGCGUGCGGGAUGACGGCCUUCGGGUUGUAAACCGCUUUCGCCUGUGACGAAGCGUGAGUGACGGUAAUGGGUAAAGAAGCACCGGCUAACUACGUG
RNAcentral lists this ribosomal RNA (468 nucleotides) under uncultured bacterium. RNAcentral describes it as "partial 16S ribosomal RNA". It matches the Rfam family "Bacterial small subunit ribosomal RNA", at positions 28 to 507 of the family's 1533-position model. The record is from RNAcentral.